CAGCAGCCGCGGUAAUACGAAGGGUGCAAGCGUUAAUCGGAAUUACUGGGCGUAAAGCGUGCGUAGGCGGUGAGUUAAGUCUGCUGUGAAAUCCCCGGGCUCAACCUGGGAAUGGCAGUGGAUACUGGCUCGCUAGAGUGUGUCAGAGGAUGGUGGAAUUCCCGGUGUAGCGGUGAAAUGCGUAGAGAUCGGGAGGAACAUCAGUGGCGAAGGCGGCCAUCUGGGACAACACUGACGCUCAUGCACGAAAGCGUGGGGAGCAAACAGGAUUAGAUACCCGCGUAGUCCCUGUCUCUUAUAC
This 301-nucleotide ribosomal RNA is filed under the name uncultured bacterium. RNAcentral's name for it is "partial 16S ribosomal RNA". It matches the Rfam family "Bacterial small subunit ribosomal RNA", at positions 509 to 807 of the family's 1533-position model. The record is from RNAcentral.